GCCGUCCUAGCUCAGUUGGUAGAGCGACUGCCUUGUAAGCAGUGGGUCGUGGGUUCGAUUCCUACGGGCGGCACCA
This 76-nucleotide transfer RNA is filed under the name Pseudomonadota bacterium. RNAcentral's name for it is "tRNA-Thr". It matches the Rfam family "tRNA". Rfam says of the family: Transfer RNA (tRNA) molecules are approximately 80 nucleotides in length. Their secondary structure includes four short double-helical elements and three loops (D, anti-codon, and T loops). Lineage: Bacteria; Pseudomonadati; Pseudomonadota. The record is from RNAcentral.